Non-coding RNA from Lolium perenne, 269 nucleotides. The record is from RefSeq and is a predicted model, not a curated record. Lineage: Eukaryota; Viridiplantae; Streptophyta; Magnoliopsida; Poales; Poaceae.
UUUUUUGUCCAGGCCGCACAAGAAGCAGCGAUGAUGGUGGUGCUACAGAUCCUCACAUGUAUGAUGGAAUGCCCCAAAGAGUAGAGCAGGAGCACUAUGCAUGUUGAGGAGUAUGGGUAGUAUGAAGAUUCAUGGAAGUAUCUGAAGAUUCAAAUAUUCAUUCCUAUCUCCACUCCAUGAGGGUUAAAUAAAAAAUUCAGACCGCUUUAGUCAAAGAUGUCUCGCAGCGAGGUCAUAAAUGGAAAAUCCCUUGUGCGCGUCGCCUAUGU